Molecule: ribosomal RNA, 337 nt
Filed under: uncultured bacterium
Lineage: Bacteria
Description: bacterial SSU rRNA
Rfam family: Bacterial small subunit ribosomal RNA
Source: RNAcentral
CUAGCGACUUCAGAGUUUGAUCCUGGCUCAGGACGAACGCUGGCGGCGUGCCUAACACAUGCAAGUCGAACGGAGUUGUUUCUACGGAGAUAACUUAGUGGCGAACGGGUGAGUAACGCGUGAGAAACCUGCCUUUCAGUGGGGGACAACAGUUGGAAACGACUGCUAAUACCGCAUAACGUAUCGAGGGGGCAUCCUCUUGAUACCAAAGCUUUAUGUGCUGAAAGAUGGUCUCGCGUCUGAUUAGCUAGUUGGUGAGGUAACGGCUCACCAAGGCGACGAUCAGUAGCCGGUCUGAGAGGAUGAACGGCCACAUUGGGACUGAGAUACGGCCCAG